This 464-nucleotide ribosomal RNA is filed under the name Vreelandella stevensii. Its description in RNAcentral is "partial 16S ribosomal RNA". It matches the Rfam family "Bacterial small subunit ribosomal RNA", at positions 338 to 795 of the family's 1533-position model. Lineage: Bacteria; Pseudomonadati; Pseudomonadota; Gammaproteobacteria; Oceanospirillales; Halomonadaceae. The record is from RNAcentral.
CCUACGGAGGCUGCAGUGGGGAAUAUUGGACAAUGGGCGAAAGCCUGAUCCAGCCAUGCCGCGUGUGUGAAGAAGGCCUUCGGGUUGUAAAGCACUUUCAGUGGGGAAGAAAGCCUUGGGGCUAAUACCCUCGAGGAAGGACAUCACCCACAGAAGAAGCACCGGCUAACUCCGUGCCAGCAGCCGCGGUAAUACGGAGGGUGCGAGCGUUAAUCGGAAUUACUGGGCGUAACGCGCGCGUAGGCGGUCUGAUAAGCCGGUUGUGAAAGCCCCGGGCUCAACCUGGGAACGGCAUCCGGAACUGUCAGGCUAGAGUGCAGGAGAGGAAGGUAGAAUUCCCGGUGUAGCGGUGAAAUGCGUAGAGAUCGGGAGGAAUACCAGUGGCGAAGGCGGCCUUCUGGACUGACACUGACGCUGAGGUGCGAAAGCGUGGGUAGCAAACAGGAUUAGAUACCCUAGUAGUC